CUUCUGUAUUGUCACCCUCCUCCUGGAAAAGACCCUGUGGCAUUCCAGCAUCAACACAGGCAACUCCUAGAGAACAAAAUAAAAGGUGAAGAACUGAGGCCACCGCUGCCUGUGCUGCACCCCAGACAACAGCGCUGUGGACUGGACCCUGCUCUUGUGGAGCACUCGCCCCCGGAAGUCACCUUCGGAAGCACCUGAGGUGGCUACAGUAGUCAUGAGGUGCCCCAGAAGUCUCCUGCAGGAGGAUGAUGGAUGUGUGUAUAAACAUACAGAUACAUAAUAACUUUGAGGUUUUGUUAUUAAAAUUAAUUUGCCACU
RNAcentral lists this long non-coding RNA (318 nucleotides) under Rattus norvegicus (Norway rat). RNAcentral's name for it is "long non-coding RNA NONRATT006657". The record is from RNAcentral. Lineage: Eukaryota; Metazoa; Chordata; Mammalia; Rodentia; Muridae.